CACAUACUCCCUCCUUUCAAAAAUACUUGUCAUCAAAAUGAAUAAAAAGAGAUGUAUUUAGAAUUAAAAUACGUCUAGAUACAUCUUUUUUUGUUCAUUUUGAUGACAAGUAUUUCCGGACGAAUGAAGUAUUUA
Molecule: non-coding RNA, 135 nt
Organism: Triticum urartu
Lineage: Eukaryota; Viridiplantae; Streptophyta; Magnoliopsida; Poales; Poaceae
Source: Rfam